GACGAACGCUGGUGGCGUGCCUAAUACAUGCAAGUCGAGCGGACGAAUCGAAAGCUUGCUUUUGAUUCGUUAGCGGCGGACGGGUGAGUAACACGUGGGCAACCUGCCCUGUAGACGGGGAUAACACCGAGAAAUCGGUGCUAAUACCGGAUAACACGAAAUGUCGCAUGACGUUUCGUUGAAAGACGGCGCAAGCUGCCGCUACAGGAUGGGCCCGCGGCGCAUUAGCUAGUUGGUGAGGUAACGGCUCACCAAGGCGACGAUACGUAGCCGACCUGAGAGGGUGAUCGGCCACACUGGGACUGAGACACGGCCCAGACUCCUACGGGAGGCAGCAGUAGGGAAUCUUCCGCAAUGGACGAAAGUCUGACGGAGCAACGCCGCGUGAGCGAAGAAGGCCUUCGGGUCGUAAAGCUCUGUUGUUAGGGAAGAACAAGUAACGCAGUAACUGGCGUUACCGUGACGGUACCUAACGAGAAAGCCACGGCUAACUACGUG
Molecule: ribosomal RNA, 498 nt
Filed under: uncultured bacterium
Lineage: Bacteria
Description: partial 16S ribosomal RNA
Rfam family: Bacterial small subunit ribosomal RNA
Source: RNAcentral